AUAAGUGUAAGACGUAUAGUUAAUUAAUACUGUAUUUUAGCCAGAAGGUUUAACAGAUGAUGAUGAAGAGGAGGAUCAGAACAGUGAAUACAGCACAACAGAAGGCAGCAUGGGAGAUGAAUCAGAGGUAGAAGAAGAAGCUCUUAUAUCAUCUGGAUCAUCAGAGAAGCAGGAUGAUAAUCUUGCUAAGACUGGUGAUUCCAACAGCACUGGGGCGUUAGUGGGAAUACGAAUGCAGGAAGCAAAAAGGCAGUUUGCUCGAAAGUCAAUACAAGUGAACCUGUACAAGAUGUUGAGAUUAUCAAUGCAACUGCUCUUAUGAAGUUUACUUCAGGGGGAUCCGAACAUAAACAAGCAGGACACUG
Molecule: non-coding RNA, 365 nt
Organism: Penaeus vannamei (Pacific white shrimp)
Lineage: Eukaryota; Metazoa; Arthropoda; Malacostraca; Decapoda; Penaeidae
Source: RefSeq, a predicted model, not a curated record